AUCACAAUGGCCUCCAGGAUUGUGAGUGGCCUCUGGGAGCUGAGGGAAGCUUCCAGUUGAUGUCCAACAAGAAGCUGGGAUCCUUAGUCCUACAGGCAAAGGACACAAAUUCUGUCAACAACCUGAGUGUAUUCCUGGUCCUGCUCAGUGCUCUGGCAGGGUGAACCUCUACUGAUUGCAUCAAUUUGCUCCCUUUUCUCUGGCUUCUCAAUGGGUUCAGCCAAUGGGAGGCACCAGCAGGAAAUCAAAGAAUGGAAGGCAAGAGAAGGCUGCAUUCAAGAGCAUGUAAGCAUCUAAUGUGCAUGCACUGAACUUCUUCAAGGGACAAGAACCUGGCUCCUGAGGCCUGUGGGCUUCCACUUGACACCAGGAAUUCUAAAGUGCCCACACUCAAAAGAAGUCAUUCUCUUCCCCGGUGUCCUGAUUGAAAAAGUGGAUAGCAGAGAAAAGAUUUGAAUCAUGUACUAGUUUUGAAGAGUCACAUUGGAAAAUGUGCUGUAUCCAUUAACCUUUUUGCAAAGAGCAGAAGGUAAAGCCAGCCUCUGUGUUAUGAGGACACUCCAGCAGUCCUAUGGAGAGGAUCAUGAGGAGGGAAACCAAGAUCUCCAGAGGAACAGACACCCCCUGACAACAUCCAGGGGAGUAAGCUGGGAAGCAGAUUACCUGGUCUUGGUCAAGACUUCGUAUGACUGCAAUCCUGGCCAGCACCUUCACUGCAACUUCAUGAAAGAUCCUAGACCAGAACCAUCCAGUUAAGCUGUCCUGUUUUUCCAACCCAUGGAAAUAAUGAGAAAAUAAAUGUUUGUUGUUUUAGGUCAUUCUAUUUUGGAAUGAUUUAUCAUAUAAUAAUCAAUAACUAAUACAGUACCAGGGGCAGGUUUUAAUUUGGAAUGAGUGUAUAGGAAAAUAUAAAGAAUAUGGUCAGAAAAAUUUAUCUUUUAUCCUUUAUUUUUUUUAUAUAUAGAAAUUAAUAGGCAUUAUGUAGAGAAAAUAGGAACACUUUUCAUGGGGUAUUUGGGUUGCAAAGUCAGAAAAUAUAACUCACACUUAUGUCAUCAUCGUUAUAAUUCUUACCAAAUACUAUUAAAAAUAAACUAUUUCAAAUAGUACUCUUGUAUUCAAUGACUUUUAUAAAGCCAUUGAAUAACAUAUCCCAGCUCUUAGGAACUCACAGAAUAUAGCAAUCUCUAC
This 1191-nucleotide long non-coding RNA is filed under the name Equus caballus (horse). Its description in RNAcentral is "lncRNA (ENSECAG00000031606.3)". The record is from RNAcentral. Lineage: Eukaryota; Metazoa; Chordata; Mammalia; Perissodactyla; Equidae.